Molecule: ribosomal RNA, 374 nt
Filed under: uncultured organism
Description: partial 16S ribosomal RNA
Rfam family: Bacterial small subunit ribosomal RNA
Source: RNAcentral
GUAGGUGGCAAGCGUUGUCCGGAAUUAUUGGGCGUAAAGCGCGCGCAGGCGGUUCUUUAAGUCUGAUGUGAAAGCCCACGGCUCAACCGUGGAGGGUCAUUGGAAACUGGAGAACUUGAGUACAGAAGAGGAAAGCGGAAUUCCACGUGUAGCGGUGAAAUGCGUAGAGAUGUGGAGGAACACCAGUGGCGAAGGCGGCUUUCUGGUCUGUAACUGACGCUGAGGCGCGAAAGCGUGGGGAGCAAACAGGAUUAGAUACCCUGGUAGUCCACGCCGUAAACGAUGAGUGCUAAGUGUUAGGGGGGUUUUCCGCCCCCCUUAGUGCUGCAGCUAACGCAUUAAGCACUCCGCCUAGGAGUACGGCCGCAAGGCUG